UACCAGCACCCCGAGUGGUCGGGACGAUUAUUGGGCCUAAAGCAUCCGUAGCCGGUCAUGCAAGUCCUCCGUUAAAUCCACCUGCUUAACAGAUGGGCUGCGGAGGAUACUAUAAGGCUAGGAGGCGGAAGAGGCAAGCGGUACUCAGUGGGUAGGGGUAAAAUCCUCUGAUCCAUUGAAGACCACCAGUGGCGAAGGCGGCUUGCCAAUACGCGCUCGACGGUGAGGGAUGAAAGCUGGGGGAGCAAACCGG
This 253-nucleotide ribosomal RNA is filed under the name uncultured bacterium. Its description in RNAcentral is "partial 16S ribosomal RNA". It matches the Rfam family "Archaeal small subunit ribosomal RNA", at positions 474 to 727 of the family's 1478-position model. The record is from RNAcentral.